CUAACACAUGCAAGUCGAACGAGAUCUUCGGAUCUAGUGGCGCACGGGUGCGUAACGCGUGGGAAUCUGCCCUUGGGUACGGAAUAACUCAGAGAAAUUUGUGCUAAUACCGUAUAAUGUCUUCGGACCAAAGAUUUAUCGCCCAAGGAUGAGCCCGCGUAGGAUUAGCUAGUUGGUGAGGUAAAAGCUCACCAAGGCGACGAUCCUUAGCUGGUCUGAGAGGAUGAUCAGCCACACUGGGACUGAGACACGGCCCAGACUCCUACGGGAGGCAGCAGUGGGGAAUAUUGGACAAUGGGCGAAAGCCUGAUCCAGCAAUGCCGCGUGAGUGAUGAAGGCCCUAGGGUUGUAAAGCUCUUUUACCCGGGAUGAUAAUGACAGUACCGGGAGAAUAAGCUCCGGCUAACUUCGUGCCAGCAGCCGCGGUAAUACGAGGGGAGCUAGCGUUGUUCGGAAUUACUGGGCGUAAAGCGCGCGUAGGCGGUUUUUUAAGUCAGAGGUGAAAGCCCGGGGCUCAACCCCGGAAUUGCCUUUGAAACUGGAAAACUAGAAUCUUGGAGAGGUCAGUGGAAUUCCGAGUGUAGAGGUGAAAUUCGGAGAUAUUCGGAAGAACACCAGUGGCGAAGGCGAC
This 631-nucleotide ribosomal RNA is filed under the name uncultured Alphaproteobacteria bacterium. Its description in RNAcentral is "bacterial SSU rRNA". It matches the Rfam family "Bacterial small subunit ribosomal RNA", at positions 48 to 725 of the family's 1533-position model. The record is from RNAcentral. Lineage: Bacteria; Pseudomonadati; Pseudomonadota; Alphaproteobacteria.